This 380-nucleotide unclassified non-coding RNA is filed under the name fungal sp. RNAcentral's name for it is "partial internal transcribed spacer region". The stretch from base 1 to 45 matches the Rfam family "Eukaryotic small subunit ribosomal RNA", at positions 1786 to 1831 of the family's 1831-position model. Lineage: Eukaryota; Fungi. The record is from RNAcentral.
CAGUCGUAACAAGGUUUCCGUAGGUGAACCUGCGGAAGAUCAUUAACACAUAUCCAACAUUAAAACAACCCUGUGAACCUUCAAUCUUGCUCGUACCCAUGAAAGCAGCAAUCCCUGGUAAAUCAUUGCCGACCAGAUUUUGAGUCAGGGCCUCUGCCGAUCAGAGUUACGCUCGUAGCGAUGCAAACGACCUGACAUCCCAAGCAAUCAGAGUUCUGAAAGCGUCUUUGAUUGUAAGGGUGGCGCAAACACGAUCGUUGGAGGCCGACACGGCCGACGACCGGGUCCCACCAUGCUUAUCACCACACUAACGCCAACAGGUCGCGAUAACUCCGCUGACCACAAAAAACCAACUGUUAACAAUUGACAUCUUGGUUCUC